AAGUAAUGAAGUAAAAAAUUACAUUUAGUUUCGACCUAAAAAUAGAGAUUAAAUCUCCUUACUUA
This 65-nucleotide transfer RNA is filed under the name Calacanthia angulosa. RNAcentral describes it as "tRNA-Arg". Lineage: Eukaryota; Metazoa; Arthropoda; Insecta; Hemiptera; Saldidae. The record is from RNAcentral.